GAUUAAAAUAAUUAAGGGCACACAAAGGAUGCCUAGGUAGUAAGAGCCGAUGAAGGACGUGGUAAGCUGCGAUAAGCCUAGAUAAGUUGCAAUCGAACGUAAGAGUCUAGGAUUUCCGAAUGGAGCAAUCUAUUAAGAUGGAGUCUUAAUACGAAAGAGGGAACCACGUGAACUGAAACAUCUAAGUAACGUGAGGAAAAGAAAGUAAAAACGAUACCCAAAGUAGCGGCGAGCGAACUGGGUCAAGCCUAAACCUUAAAUAUGUCAAGGAUACAGCCGUUGUAUUUAAGGGGUUGAGGGACAAAGUAGUGAAGAACUGUAAGAUAUUCAAUAUAGUGUAUUGAUGAAUUAGAAUUGUAUGGAAAGAUAAACCGCAGAAGGUGAGAGUCCUGUAUAAGUAAAUCCUUACACAUAUAACUUUGCUCCCAAGUAACAUGGAACACGAGGAAUUCUGUGUGAAUCAGUGAGGACCAUAUCUCAUAAGGCUAAAUACUCU
Molecule: ribosomal RNA, 496 nt
Filed under: Fusobacterium animalis
Lineage: Bacteria; Fusobacteriati; Fusobacteriota; Fusobacteriia; Fusobacteriales; Fusobacteriaceae
Description: bacterial LSU rRNA
Rfam family: Bacterial large subunit ribosomal RNA
Source: RNAcentral